RNAcentral lists this long non-coding RNA (1025 nucleotides) under Chinchilla lanigera (long-tailed chinchilla). RNAcentral's name for it is "lncRNA (ENSCLAG00000027974.1)". The record is from RNAcentral. Lineage: Eukaryota; Metazoa; Chordata; Mammalia; Rodentia; Chinchillidae.
UCUUCCACAGUCUGUUCUCCACAGUCCAGCAGAAGUGAGCCUCCAAAAGGAAACCUGAUUCUAUCAUAUCGUGAAACUCCCACUGUAGAGGAUCCCUGGACAGAGUCUAGAUGCGCCUCCCGCGGCUCUGCUCCUCAGAGCGCCGUCAGCCUCUUCUGUCGGGCCGUUCUCUGCCUCACACGACCCGUGAAUUCGCGCUCAAUCCUCGCCGUCGCUGUGUGUUUGAGUUUCUGCCGGAGGCUGCGCUCCCUCUGACCGCCAGAGCCUUGUAUCCACGGUUGCCUCUCCCUGGAACACUCGUCCCUUCAUCUAACUCUGGUGCACCCUUCAGCUCUUGUGAGAUUUGUGAUUUUUCUUUGGGAGGAGUCUUCCCAGUUCGGAGAGGCGGGCUGCUGAUUAUGGAGAAAGAUCAUGGAACCAUACCGUGGCCUGCUGCAAUCUCUUACAUCCCAGUGAUGGUGGAAGAAUGGCUUAGCUUAGCUGCAACUAAAAAGAACACAGAAACAGAGGUACCAGAGCCCACCAAGGGACCACGUUCCAUCUCCCAGUGGAGAACACAAGGCAGAACCAGAAGAAAAUCUGACAAUAGAAUGGAAGUGGCUCUUUCAGAUUCUCUCUUCGAUCCUUUAGAAUUUGUUAACAGAAUUAAAAUACAACUGUGGUAGACGUUCUCAGAUAUAGGACUCCUUUACACUGCUUUACACUUGUACCAAUUAUUGAACUAUUGUUUUUGUCGAUUAUAUCUACUUGACAUUUCCUGUAUCAAAACUUAUCUCAAAAAUUUUAAAUCCUUGCUCUAAGUUCAUUUAAAAAAUAACAAGGAACCCAACUGCACUUUAACAAAAUAACACAUUCAUGUGAAAAAUAAUAUAUUUCUCAGAGUAAAAAAUAAUGAGAAGAGUGGUGUUUGUUUUUACUUUUUUUUUUUUUUUUUUUUUUUUUUUUGCAAAUCUCUUUAAUGUCGAGCUUAGUAGAAGGCAUAUUCUCAUCUCUUCUCCAUUCCGUCUUCUGUUAAAUACUGUUUG